This 840-nucleotide long non-coding RNA is filed under the name Triticum aestivum (bread wheat). RNAcentral's name for it is "long non-coding RNA (TAES_LNC025435)". The record is from RNAcentral. Lineage: Eukaryota; Viridiplantae; Streptophyta; Magnoliopsida; Poales; Poaceae.
UAGCCAGUAACCUAAUAGGUGACUUCUUAAUGCCGGCUAUUGCUAGAUUCCUUCACUGCUGUUGGAAAAUGGAGCUUCAUAUUCUAUCUGAAAUUUUUUAGGUCUCAUGUUUAAUGUUUCUACAUAUCUGCCAUCCUUUUUUUGCAUGGCAUAUCUGCCAUCCUUGUGUACUUGCAUUUGCUUACUGGUUAAAGGCAUUAUACAUUUAUACUAUUUUAUCUAUCUUUUUUUGUAGGGAUUACAUGAUCUACAAGCCAAAGACUCUGAAAUACACAAACAUGAUGAUGAUUAUGAUAGAGGUAGUACAGUGGCAAGCACCAAUCAGUGUGCGGCAAAAACAUAAAGCCGAGAAGCAACACCUGCUGAUGUUCUUUCUUAUGGGAUCAGCAAAUAACCUGCAAUGAAGGAUUCUAAGGAUAAUUUGCUUGCUAUGGUUGCCACUAAAAAUCCUCAUUGUAAUUAUCUUUCGGCUUAUAAUUAUGUCUGUCAUUUCUAAAGUCAUGUUGUGACUGCAAUGAAGGUCUCCUAUAAAUGUCAGUUGUCGUUUCUAAUUCAUGUUAUGCCUAUUCAUGCCUUGUUAAGCCGAGAUCAAGUAUCGUCGGUCAUUUCUAAAGAUCAGGAGCCAACUAGCCACCCUAAUCUAAGCAUUGGAUAUUGGUAAGUUUGAAGAAGCCCAACAUGCAUAGCCAAGCUUAAAUUAAGAACCCAACUAGCCGCCUUGAUGUGUGUAGACAAGAUUAGUGCGCACAAUCUCGCCUCAAGAGGUGCGCCUGGGGCGGACCCCAACCAGUAGUACAUGAUCUAUCAGGAUGAAAUAGAAGAAAUCCUAGGCAACACAAG